Molecule: small nucleolar RNA, 125 nt
Organism: Eptesicus fuscus (big brown bat)
Lineage: Eukaryota; Metazoa; Chordata; Mammalia; Chiroptera; Vespertilionidae
Product: small nucleolar RNA SNORA23
Exons: 1
Source: RefSeq, a predicted model, not a curated record
UUAAAAAGGUGGAAUAUUAUAAACAUCAUGCAGCCAAAGAGUAAGGUGCGAUCAUAGUACUGGUCUAGUUGUUGUCUCAUUGGACAUAGUUUACCACUGGCCAGCCUCCAAAUUCCCAUACAGGA